CCGUGUUGAUUCUCCUCUCCACUACCUCUCUCUUGCAAUAGGUCCAUCAACACCAGAACCUGAGACACCCUUGCCAGACAUCACAACGCCGCCUCCACACCAGACAACAACCACCCCAAGCUCAGGUCCAUCAACACCAGAACCUGAGACACCCUUGCCAGACAUCACAACGCCGCCUCCACACUCACCAACUGCACCAACACCUACAGCAAUUUCAGGCCAUGCUUCCUGCAGUGCCUCUGGGGAUCCACAUUACAACACUUUUGACCACAGAGUUCAUAAUUUCAUGGGAAACUGUUC
Molecule: long non-coding RNA, 300 nt
Filed under: Chrysolophus pictus (golden pheasant)
Lineage: Eukaryota; Metazoa; Chordata; Aves; Galliformes; Phasianidae
Description: lncRNA (ENSCPIG00010002822.1)
Source: RNAcentral